GCCGGGAAAAGCGACGGCGCCGAGGCGCUGCUCCACCGUGCCGUGCCCGGUUCCUCGAACGGCGCGUGCGGCUUGACCAAAGCGUGGCCGCUGCUCGCCUGUGCCGUGGCGGGACAUAAACGUGUUUUAUGAGGAUGAAGAGGGUCCGCUCGAGUUCAGACUGAGAUGGAAAGAGCUCCGCUGCCUGUACUUCAGUGUUGUUCAUUAGUCUGGGACCAAAGAGUUAUUUUUAACACCUUCAAUCAACUGGAAAUCUCGUUUUGGCAUGGAGCUGAGGUAGGGUAUAGCAAACUGACUGCAUCAAGCAGACAGCAGGAGGCAACUGAACACUGAAUCUUCAUCACCAAAAAUAAAUACAUUAAAAAUGUAUAUGAGCUGUUACUAAGGAGAAGGCUCCUAUUGUCCACGUGACUCAGGCAGAACAUAGAAAUUUAAGAAUGCUCCAUUGCAGAUAACAGGACCUUUCCCUUGAGGUCUGUCUGCUUGCCACCUGUUUCUGAUCAUUUUCUGUCUGAGGAGAACAUAUAUCUGUACCUGUGCUCUGGUUAUCUAUGGUGCUUUUCAUCCAGAGAUCCCUAAUCACAUUGCAAACAUUAUUGCAUUUAGCUUCAUAAACUCUCUUUUGACAUAGGAAAUUAUUAAUAUAUCCCAUUUUAUGGUCAGAGGGAAAAAAGAGCAGAGACCAACAAUUCAGAGGCCAUCAAAUCUUUGGCUGGAGAUUCUGCAGGAGUCCGGGAUCGCUUCUUCCAUUCUCAUGCACUUACUGCGAAAGAAAUCUAAGUCAUGUGCACGUCACGAUCUCAAUUACUGCAGAAAAUCAAUGACUUUGCAGCCCAAUACUUUGACAAGGAAAACUGCCCAUAAUACUGCAGUUUUAUACCUUUAUUAUUAUUUAUUUGAGCAGUUUCUUACCACUCUUCUUUUUAAAGUGCUUAAGUGCCUUUGUGUGUAGACUAGGAGGAGGCUGCUUUUUAUAAUAAUAGUAUUUAUCUGAAGUGAUUUUAUAGAGAAAAUACAUAAGGUCCGCAGAGCAUUAGAAAUGUUUCCCACUUCUCUCGAAAACUAGACACACAGUGUUUCAGGACAUCCAUUAAUAAUCCCUGCUCUUGGGAGUGCCUAGCUAUCAAAGUGCUGGGUUGGUUUAUUAGUUUACAGGUUAUUACUUCUCUAGUUUAGAUUUCUCUCUUGUAUCUUUUAUGAUGCAGAAUAUAGACUACGAGCUGGAACCUCAGGUGCAGCCAGGCUCUGUUCUGCGCAACCAAGGAGAGAGGAAAGGAAUUAGUUUGCUCCCUGAUGCAGGAGCUGCUUGGGAAUUAUUUUGGCCUGUGUUGUAAAUCAGUUACGUGAAGCAGAGCUGUCUUCCCUCUGGCCAGAGAACAGCAGAGUGCUCCUCUUCCUCUUAUUAAUACCGCAAAAAGGUCGGGGGAUGUGGGUGGUGUGGGGUCGCUGUGCCUCCCGCUUCGGACGUGAGGACUCUCUCCAUGGAGCUGUUGUUUCAAAGACGAAGGAGGGAUGACAGAAAUUCAUCCCAUGGGGUUUUCAAGCAGUUCCCGCUGCAUUUAAAUGGAGUCUGAGAGUGGCUGUGUUCAGAAAACGCUACUCUUAGGGAAACGGAGGAGCACACCCGAGGCUGUUCCCAAAGCCUAGCUGCAGCCCAGCACUCUGGUCUCCCUGGCUGGCUCUCUGCGGGCAGCACGGAGCUGCUUUGUCACUGCUCCAUGCAGAGCAGAAACGCAGCUUUGAACCUGGCUCUCUCUAGGCAAGAACAAAGCCUGCCAGGGCAGAAACCAGCUGUUCUAAGUGUCUCUGAGUUUCUAGAUGCCAGUGAGGUUUGUGCCUGACAUAGAUAUGGGACUGCCAAGCAGGACCAGAACUGAACAGUUUCUGCACAUGGACAGAAACAGGACGUUGGGCUUCCAAGGAAGCCUGAGGUCAAACUGUGAGCAGCUGAGGAGCUGGACACAUCCAGGGUUAGGUGAGUGUGGAGCAGCAAUUUCAGAGUUAAAUCUCUGAGGCUCUCACCUGAUGUGCCAUACUUUGAGGGAAGGUGAGGGGUUUCUUGCUCUUUUGUGCAUUGGGGCCUCUUCUGUGCUCCCUAGGAUAAUGAAUAAUAUCAUCUCUGACUCUAAGAGACCAGUCUAAGAGCUUUGCUUUGUCCUUAAGUUGUCCACACAUCUCGCGUUGUAUGGGACAUCUAUUUCAUUCAUUUGUUGUGUGAGUAAGAGGAGGGCUAAGCCAGUCAGUCAGGCAUUGCAGAUCCACUCUAAGCUAUUUUAUCUGUUGAUUAAACCUUGUUUUCGGGGUAGAAUUCAGCCUGAAAAAAACCCAGUCUUUUAACAAAAACUAAACACAAAGCUCAAAACCAAAUUGUUCCCUUUCUAUAUAGCCUUCAGACUGCCCUUAGGUGCCCAUCUGAAAUUGAAAUCCUGAAUGUGGUUGCAUACCUGAGACUGUCAAUUCAUGCUGUUGCCUCAUUUUCCUGCAUUUGCAGGAAAUAAUGGCCAUUAUUGUCUGUGCAAAUAAGAAGUGCCCAUGUGUGGUGCACAAGCUCAAUCUACAGGGUAGGGUUUCGAAACAUGGCAGUAAGCCAGCGUGCCCUGUCUGGGCCUGGAAGCAUCUAAGUAGUAAUUUGACUAGAGCUCUUUGGAAAUUUUCUUUCAGUUCUAGCAGUCUAUAAAUAGAGGAGUACUCCAGCCCUUACAUGACUUUGUUGUGCUGUGUCAUUUGUGUUUUCUGAGCUGCUGUGCAGAUUGGGGAAGAAGGAGUUCAGACCCACGGGACUGGGAUGAGAAAUGGGCUGCCUUGAUGCUGGGGGGGAGUUUCAGAAGGGGGCUACUGCUGAGAUUGCAGCACCUGGCAGAAGUGAGGCAAGUCACAGCUACACAAAGACUUCACUGAAAGCAAUUUCCUGGGUGUUUGCUCCAUAUGUCGUUUACUUAUAUUCAGUACCUUUAAAACCAGUGGAUCCUGCAUUUCCUAGCAAAAGGUAUCCAGAAAUGACUUCAACAGUCACUGAAAUGAAAAUGACAUUUUUGAAAUAUGUGAGCUAUAUCUCCAGAAUAGCUCCAGUCUACCUAAAAGAGCUAAAAGAGCACCAGCUACCUAAAAGAGUCAGGAUUACCUCGUGAACUCAAUUUGUUACUGUCUAAUGAUAAUUUUAUCCUCGAUAUUUAUCAUAAGAUAACAGCUGGCUGUACUGGGCACUGUAGCCAGGGGGUACAGAGCAGAGAGAGUCAUCACGAUCCAGGAUUGAGUUUGAGCCCCGUUUACAUAAUUUUUGUUUGUCAAGUAGCAGCCCUGCAUUGAUCAUGACCAUGACAGCGCCUGUGGAUGGUAUCAUCCAUCAACAGAUCCACCCCACGAACAACAGAAGCGUUGCAUUUCUGGAAUGGCUGAAGAAAUUAUUUUCUACGGAUCAGAAAAGACAGCAUUAAUCACCAUAAAGCUCACGGUAGUUUAUGCAGGAAUUUCUCAGCUGCUCGUGGUGGUCUGUCAGACAAAAGAUAGCAUGCAAAUGGAGUGGAUCAUAAAAAUAAUUGUAGCCUAGCUUCUAAGAACAGAAUUCAUAUUACCCUUUCUGCUAAGAUGUGUGAAAAUACGGAAAAUGACACCAAAGCUUUUGCAGAAGCAACCAGAGAAUAUCAGGGUAUUAGUAUAAUACUAAUAGUGUAGUCGGUUGUAUAAAUCACUUAAUUGUGACAACAAAUUAAAUAGUGUUGUUUUCUAGAAUUCACCCAUAGUAAAAAUGAUGUAUCUUGAUGAGACAAAUGCUUUGUGCACUGCCAGCAAUAUAUUAGCACCUCUUUCAACUGAGAAAACAAUUAAAAAUUUGGUUGAAAAGGGCAUAUUUUCUCUGUAGCCACUGAUCCCUAAAACUCUGCAAAUAAUAAAGUGUUUCUAAUAGUUGUUCAUUAUUAUACAGUUGAAAGAGGAAAAAUCCAUUGUCUCAUUAUGUUCAAGACAGUUAUGAGAUUGCACUGGGAAUAUCUGAAAAUGUAAGAUGCGUACAAUCAAACGUUUUCAACUUUGACAAUGUAUCAUCAUUUGCAGUUGAUAAUGCUACUGUUAACUUUGGGAGAUAUCAGUCAGUGCACGCAGUGGAAAAUGAGAAUAAAUAUUUGCUUUUAGUUCAUAUACUGCAUAAAUAACAGCAAAGUAUGCAGUAGAAAAGUCAUGAUUUGAUUUUGAGGGUUGUGUAACAGAAGUUUCAGAAUUACAGGAGAUAAUCGUUUUGCUGAACUUAAAUAUGUGGAAAUGUUCAGGCAUCUCCCAAUGAAGUGGGAGUCUCUUUGCUUUGCAAAUGAAACAAUAGCAAAAGGAUCUGGGGUAUUACAAAUUACUUUUGAAUAUUAGGUGAAGAGUGCCCCAGUCUGAUUUUUAAGUUCUUUAUGGAUGCUGAAGAUUGGCAUGGUGGAAGUGCCUGGUAUCCGAAUACUUCCUCUUUCACAGUACAUUAAAUUUUUUUGUCAUCAUCUAGUCAAAAUUAAAAUGCUCUCCUGUGCUGAAGUUUAGAACAUAAAACAUUAAUUGUGUUGUAAAUCACAACAAAGAAUGAACAACAUAUUGAUCAUACGUGCCAGGCCUGCGUAAAGACAUACCAUGACAAGGCAAAAGAAUGUAAACAGAUCUCCUUCAGCAGUACGUAUAAGCUCUGAGAUCCCUGUCUUCAUCUGCCUACACUAACCUGAUUCAGUUACUGUUUCUGAAAAAGUGUGGGAUUUUAGGAAACUGGAAGCCUUAUUGAGCAACUUAUGUACGACAUAUGCGACAUUUUCAAGACUGGAAACAGACUGAUGAAGAGUCGUGAUUUGAAAGAUUUUGUGAAGCUUGCGUACGUGCUCCAGGAAUUUGUACUUAGAAAUAUUUCAGUGUUUAUCUGCAAAUCCUAGUUAUCUCCAUUUCUUAAAACUUGCAGAAUUUACUAUAUCUGUUCCUAUCUCUAGAGAGUAAUAGAAUAAAUAUUUUCUUUUGGAGGCAGGUUUAACAUUUCAGAAGCCUACAAAAUGUUGAGUCGGUUAAAGCUGAGGUUUAAAUUAAAGUUAAUUUCAAUUGAAUGCAUAAAGAAUUUUGUGAACCAACACAAUAAAUGAAAAAGUACUGAAA
Molecule: long non-coding RNA, 5103 nt
Organism: Dromaius novaehollandiae (emu)
Lineage: Eukaryota; Metazoa; Chordata; Aves; Casuariiformes; Dromaiidae
Exons: 2
Source: RefSeq, a predicted model, not a curated record